This 240-nucleotide unclassified non-coding RNA is filed under the name soil metagenome. RNAcentral's name for it is "partial contains 5.8S ribosomal RNA, internal transcribed spacer 2, and large subunit ribosomal RNA". The record is from RNAcentral.
AACCUUAUGGACCUGCGGGCGUAUACCUGCGGAGGGAUCAUUAAAAAAACUUUGCCCGCGGACCCUGGAUCCAAGGCGCAAAACCCACACUAUGUGCACUGUUAUCGUUCUUUUGGCAGAGGCUUGGGGUGUCUUCGGAACCUCAACUUCUCAUCUAGCUCUAUCCACCUCGGACAGCUGGACAUGAGAAGCAGUUACCCUGCCAAGUGACCCCUAAAACACGCUUUUUUGUCUGAAAUG